Momordica charantia (bitter melon) is the source of this 1328-nucleotide RNA transcript. RefSeq lists it as uncharacterized. The record is from RefSeq and is a predicted model, not a curated record. NCBI's taxonomy places the organism in Eukaryota, Viridiplantae, Streptophyta, Magnoliopsida, Cucurbitales, Cucurbitaceae.
ACGAAAUAUGACUUUGUGGUCUCGGUAAUCACGGAAAAAGAUGAUUCUCCAUCUUUGCAAAAGCUUCUUCUACAGGACAGAAUGAUUCGAAUAAGCGGAGGUAUCAAGGAUAAAGAUCUAAUAAUCACCGUUUCUGGAAUACUAACAAUGGAAAGCCUCAAUGUCAGAUCUGUGAAAGGUUUGGGGAUAUUGCUGCAUAGUGUUGUUUUUGGUUUGAAAGAGAAGUUCAUGGUCCCAAUUUGAACUCUCAGCAUCAGAAAUCUUUCUAAUUUUCCGUGACUGGUCAUGGUUAGUCUUCAUCUGAAUUUAAUGCUCUUACUCUGCAACAUGAUUUGAAUAAAGAAAAUCUCUGGUUUCCUGAUUGUGGUGCUCUGAGUAUCGUGGAGAUAAUAAAUUUCUUGUCGGCAACAGUACAGGAUCUCAAUAGCCAAAGACUUCUCCAAGGCAUUCUUAAAGAUGGAUUGUAUAGCUUUAAUUUGGAAAAAGUAUCUUCUUCAGACUCCAAGUUGGAUAGCUCUUCUUUCACAGUAUGGGAGUAUAAGACUGUUUUGAUGUUGACUACACAUCGCACUCAGGCUGAAUGUCGAUGACAUUCCUCAUCUUCUCUAAUGGUCAUGCACCUAUUGUCACUGGUUUCGUGUGCUGACCAUUUAUACCUUCGUGUCUAGUCAUAGUCUAGCCAUGGACCAUCUCAUGAAUCCACUGCAAGCCCGCGUCUUAUCCCUUCCAACACCCGUCGUUAAGACAGGAGCGAAUCUUACACUAGUCGCUAAUCAAAAAAACGUUCCAACAGAUGGUGUACCGACCAAAAAUCAGAAGGACUAAGGGAAGAAGAAGGUUGCAACCGAGGGCAUAAAAGAGCAUACAUUGGUCCAUUCCUCAACAAUGACUGAGGACCGAGAGGAUGGUGUACCGACUGAAGACGAAGAUCUAGAUGAUGAGUCGGACUAUGGGGAUGAACCAGAAGUUAAUGUCAAGGAAAGAGAUACUUCAAACAUUUUUAAGAGUUGAUGGCUUAAGCACGUAACUGGUUGUACCCUGGUAGCAUAAAAUUUUGCUUGUUAAACUUCUGGGUGGAGUUGAUGCAUAUCAAGGUGCUCAAUAAUUGGAAUAACAAAUCGCUUGAUAUGUUACUAGAAUUGUUGAAAUAUGCAAUUCCACCCGGUGCAUUUAUACAUGGUUGAUUCUAUGAAUCUAAGAGAAAGCUAGGUGACUUAGGGCAAAGAUAUGAGUCCGCUCUCGCUCUCGCUUGUUCAAAUCUAGCUCUUGCUCUUGCUCGGUUAGACCUUUCUCUUGCUUGCUCAUAACAGAUCGAAAAGAGCAGGAAG